GAAUGCCACGGUGAAUACGUUCCCGGGCCUUGUACACACCGCCCGUCACACCAUGGGAGUGGGUUGCAAAAGAAGUAGGUAGCUUAACCUUCGGGAGGGCGCUUACCACUUUGUGAUUCAUGACUGGGGUGAAGUCGUAACAAGGUAACCGUAGGGGAACCUGCGGUUGGAUCACCUCCUUACCUUAAAGAAGC
RNAcentral lists this ribosomal RNA (194 nucleotides) under Phocaeicola vulgatus. RNAcentral describes it as "Bacteroides vulgatus partial 16S ribosomal RNA". It matches the Rfam family "Bacterial small subunit ribosomal RNA", at positions 1352 to 1533 of the family's 1533-position model. The record is from RNAcentral. Lineage: Bacteria; Pseudomonadati; Bacteroidota; Bacteroidia; Bacteroidales; Bacteroidaceae. RNAcentral also lists the same sequence under 1 other name.